GGGGGAUAACCUACUCGAAAGAGUAGCUAAUACCGCAUGAGAUCUACGGAUGAAAGCAGGGGACCUUCGGGGCCUUGUGUUUUUGGGAGAAGUUGAUCCUGGCUCAGAUUGAACGCUGGCGGCAUGCUUUACACAUGCAAGUCGAACGGUAACAGGUCUUCGGAUGCUGACGAGUGGCGAACGGGUGAGUAAUACAUCGGAACGUGCCUAGUAGUGGGGGAUAACUACUCGAAAGAGUAGCUAAUACCGCAUGAGAUCUACGGAUGAAAGCAGGGGACCUUCGGGCCUUGUGCUACUAGAGCGGCUGAUGGCAGAUUAGGUAGUUGGUGGGGUAAAGGCUUACCAAGCCUGCGAUCUGUAGCUGGUCUGAGAGGACGACCAGCCACACUGGGACUGAGACACGGCCCAGACUCCUACGGGAGGCAGCAGUGGGGAAUUUUGGACAAUGGGCGAAAGCCUGAUCCAGCAAUGCCGCGUGCAGGAUGAAGGCCCUCGGGUUGUAAACUGCUUUUGUACGGAACGAAAAGCCUGGGGCUAAUAUCCCCGGGUCAUGACGGUACCGUAAGAAUAAGC
This 573-nucleotide ribosomal RNA is filed under the name Comamonas testosteroni. RNAcentral's name for it is "bacterial SSU rRNA". The stretch from base 81 to 573 matches the Rfam family "Bacterial small subunit ribosomal RNA", at positions 1 to 491 of the family's 1533-position model. The record is from RNAcentral. Lineage: Bacteria; Pseudomonadati; Pseudomonadota; Betaproteobacteria; Burkholderiales; Comamonadaceae.